CCCUCGGUAGAUGGGGAGGGAUCAUUAUCGCGGGUGUUUCUUCCCUCCCCCCUCGGGCAACCAUCUUUAAAAGAGGGGUUUGUUGGGCCGGGUUUCCGUCACCCUCCCGGCCUCCCGCCCCCGGGCGUGUCGGCGCCCGCCGGAGGAUAACCAAACUCUGAUUUAACGACGUUUCCUCUGAGUGGUACAAGCACACACUCAAAACUUUUAACAACGGAUCUCUUGGUUCUGGCAUCGAUGAAGAACGCAGCGAAAUGCGAUAAGUAAUGUGAAUUGCAGAAUUCAGUGAAUCAUCGAAUCUUUGAACGCACAUUGCGCCCGCCAGCAUUCUGGCGGGCAUGCCUGUUCGAGCGUCAUUUCAACCCUCAAGCUCUGCUUGGUGUUGGGGCCCUACAGCUGAUGUAGGCCCUCAAAGGUAGUGGCGGACCCUCCCGGAGCCUCCUUUGCGUAGUAACUUUACGUCUCGCACUGGGAUCCGGAGGGACUCUUGCCGUAAAACCCCCAAUUCUCCAAAGGGGACCUCGGAUCAGUCCGUAGGGCCCCUGAAGCUAA
RNAcentral lists this ribosomal RNA (552 nucleotides) under Colletotrichum gloeosporioides. RNAcentral describes it as "eukaryotic LSU rRNA". The stretch from base 203 to 356 matches the Rfam family "5.8S ribosomal RNA". The record is from RNAcentral. Lineage: Eukaryota; Fungi; Ascomycota; Sordariomycetes; Glomerellales; Glomerellaceae.